Molecule: transfer-messenger RNA, 82 nt
Filed under: Agrobacterium tumefaciens
Lineage: Bacteria; Pseudomonadati; Pseudomonadota; Alphaproteobacteria; Hyphomicrobiales; Rhizobiaceae
Also listed under: 3 other names
Description: transfer-messenger RNA Agrob_sp_H133
Rfam family: Alphaproteobacteria transfer-messenger RNA
About the family: Bacterial tmRNA, also known as 10Sa RNA or SsrA, is named for its dual tRNA and mRNA-like properties. Its role is to liberate the mRNA from a stalled ribosome.
Source: RNAcentral
GCCGGGGCAACCCGGCUAUGGCGAUAAACGGUCGGUGUAAUAAACCUAUUGGACCCGGGGGCGGUACCCGGCGCCUCCACCA